ACAGAGAGAGGAGGCCACAGUCAGUAACAAUCAACCUUAGAUUAAGUUACUACUAAAGCUUAACUGGUUGGAGAUGAUGACAUUAGGGAGAGUAGGGAAGGUUGUUGGAGACAGACAGGAGACAGUAGGGAAGGUUGUUGGAGACAGUCAGGAGACAGUAGGGAAGGUUGUUGGAGACAGACAGGAGACAGUAGGGAAGGUUGUUGGAGACAGACAGGAGACAGUAGGGAAGGUUGUUGGAGACAGUCAGGAGACAGUAGGGAAGGUUGUUGGAGACAGACAGGAGACAGUAGGGAAGGUUGUUGGAGACAGACAGGAGACAGUAGGGAAGGUUGUUGGAGACAGUCAGGAGACAGUAGGGAAGGUUGUUGGAGACAGACAGGAGACAGUAGGGAAGGUUGUUGGAGACAGUCAGGAGACAGUAGGGAAGGUUGUUGGAGACAGACAGGAGACAGUAGGGAAGGUUUUUGGAGACAGACAGGAGACAGUAGGGAAGGUUUUUGGAGAGACAGACAGGAGACAGUAGGGAAGGUUGUUUGAGACAGGGAGGAGACAGUAGGGAAGGUUGUUUGAGACAUACAGGAGACAGUAGGGCAGGUUUUUGGAGACAGACAGGAGACAGUAGGGAAGAUUUUUGGAGACAGACAGGAGACAGUAGGGAAGGUUGUUGGAGACAGAGUGGAGACAGUAGGGAAGGUUGUUGGAGACAGUCAGGAGACAGUAGGGAAGGUUGUUGGAGACAGACAGGAGACAGUAGGGAAGGUUUUUGGAGACAGACAGGAGACAGCAGGGAAGGUUGUUGGAGACAGUCAGGAGACAGUAGGGAAGGUUGUUGGAGACAGACAGGAGACAGUAGGGAAGGUUUUUGGAGACAGACAGGAGACAGUAGGGAAGGUUGUUGGAGACAGACAGGAGACAGUAGGGAAGGUUGUUGGAGACAGACAGGAGAAAGUAGGGAAGGUUUUUGGAGACAGACAGGAGACAGUAGGGAAGGUUGUUUGAGACAGAGAGGAGACAGUAGGGAAGGUUUUUGGAGACAGACAGGAGACAGUAGGGAAGGUUGUUUGAGACAGGGAGGAGACAGUAGGGAAGGUUGUUUGAGACAUACAGGAGACAGUAGGGCAGGUUGUUGGAGACAGAAAGGAGACAGUAGGGAAGGUUGUUGGAGACAUACAGGAGACAGUAGGGAAGGUUGUUUGAGACAGACAGGAGACAGUAGGGAAGGUUGUUG
This is a long non-coding RNA of Oncorhynchus keta (chum salmon), 1231 nucleotides long. RefSeq lists it as uncharacterized. NCBI's taxonomy places the organism in Eukaryota, Metazoa, Chordata, Actinopteri, Salmoniformes, Salmonidae. The record is from RefSeq and is a predicted model, not a curated record. The transcript is spliced from 4 exons.